This 757-nucleotide ribosomal RNA is filed under the name uncultured Enterobacteriaceae bacterium. Its description in RNAcentral is "bacterial SSU rRNA". It matches the Rfam family "Bacterial small subunit ribosomal RNA", at positions 28 to 776 of the family's 1533-position model. Lineage: Bacteria; Pseudomonadati; Pseudomonadota; Gammaproteobacteria; Enterobacterales; Enterobacteriaceae. The record is from RNAcentral.
AUUGAACGCUGGCGGCAGGCCUAACACAUGCAAGUCGAGCGGCAGCGGAAAGUAGCUUGCUACUUUGCCGGCGAGCGGCGGACGGGUGAGUAAUGUCUGGGAAACUGCCUGAUGGAGGGGGAUAACUACUGGAAACGGUAGCUAAUACCGCAUGACCUCGAAAGAGCAAAGUGGGGGAUCUUCGGACCUCACGCCAUCGGAUGUGCCCAGAUGGGAUUAGCUAGUAGGUGAGGUAAUGGCUCACCUAGGCGACGAUCCCUAGCUGGUCUGAGAGGAUGACCAGCCACACUGGAACUGAGACACGGUCCAGACUCCUACGGGAGGCAGCAGUGGGGAAUAUUGCACAAUGGGCGCAAGCCUGAUGCAGCCAUGCCGCGUGUGUGAAGAAGGCCUUAGGGUUGUAAAGCACUUUCAGCGAGGAGGAAGGCACCAUACUUAAUACGUGUGGUGAUUGACGUUACUCGCAGAAGAAGCACCGGCUAACUCCGUGCCAGCAGCCGCGGUAAUACGGAGGGUGCAAGCGUUAAUCGGAAUUACUGGGCGUAAAGCGCACGCAGGCGGUUUGUUAAGUCAGAUGUGAAAUCCCCGCGCUUAACGUGGGAACUGCAUUUGAAACUGGCAAGCUAGAGUCUUGUAGAGGGGGGUAGAAUUCCAGGUGUAGCGGUGAAAUGCGUAGAGAUCUGGAGGAAUACCGGCGGCGAAGCGGCCCCCUGGACAAAGACUGACGCUCAGUGCGAAAGCGUGGGGAGCAAACAGG